UUGCAGCUGCCCCGGUGUAGCCAUGACACUGGCUCACCUCUCGGUCACCACAGAGUCCCUCCCAUUCCCUCCCCAAGGCCACUGGGGUACAGCUAUGGCCCUGUUCUUAGGACUGGUGAUCUGUGAGCAGGCAGGGAUAUCCUACCAGGUCACCCCUGCCAGCUCACAGGCAGAGUUGCUAGGGUUCCUCUGACCCUGUCCUCUCUCCCACUCACUUGUACCAGUAGCUCUGUGGCCUUCUCUUCUUUUGCCUGGCUGGUCACCUGCUCCCAUCUGCUGCUUCAAGUGGCUUGAAACUUGCUGGGUGCUCCCAUACUCAGCCCCAGCCCGGCAGAUCCUGCCUCUAGGCCCAUAGGUGAUCAGCCCAGGCUCGGCUCCUGCCAACACAGAAUGCUGCCAGAUUCCCCGCUAGCACACUCCCUGCCCCUCACCUCUACUGAUCAGGUCUUGGGGUGUUCCUUGUGGGGCCCACCCAGGCUGAGAAUGGAGCUACAUCACCCGCCCUGCCCCCACCUGCCCAGCCCCGCCCAGGUCUGGUGCUGAGGAUGCAGCUCCUCUCAGGGUCUGAAGUCUCCAAAUCUGAAAUGUAUAUUUUUGCUAGGAGCCCCAGCUUCCCGUGUUUUUAAUAUAAAUAGUGUAUACAGACUGACGGAACUUUAAAUAAAUGGGAAUUACGUAUUUAAGAGUU
RNAcentral lists this long non-coding RNA (688 nucleotides) under Mus musculus (house mouse). RNAcentral's name for it is "long non-coding RNA chr17:28300784-28301472". Lineage: Eukaryota; Metazoa; Chordata; Mammalia; Rodentia; Muridae. The record is from RNAcentral.